AGUAGCCGGCGGCGGUGUCUCAGGCGGCAAUGGAAGGAUCCGAUCCUGUGGCCGCCCAUCAGCGGGAAGAGGCGUCCUGUUCUUCCUGGGGGACUGGCAGCACAAAUAAAAAUUUGCCCAUUAUGUCAACAGCAUCUGUGGAAAUCGAUGAUGCAUUAUACAGUCGACAGAGGUACGUUCUUGGAGACACAGCAAUGCAGAAGAUGGCCAAGUCCCAUGUUUUCUUAAGUGGGAUGGGUGGUCUUGGUUUGGAAAUUGCAAAGAAUCUUGUUCUUGCAGGGAUUAAGGCAGUUACAAUUCAUGAUACAGAAAAAUGCCAAGCAUGGGAUCUAGGAACCAACUUCUUUCUCAGUGAAGAUGAUGUUGUUAAUAAGAGAAACAGGGCUGAAGCUGUACUUAAACAUAUUGCAGAACUAAAUCCAUAUGUUCAUGUCACAUCAUCUUCUGUUCCUUUCAAUGAGACCACAGAUCUCUCCUUUUUAGAUAAAUACCAGUGUGUAGUAUUGACUGAGAUGAAACUUCCAUUGCAGAAGAAGAUCAAUGACUUUUGCCGUUCUCAGUGCCCUCCAAUUAAGUUUAUCAGUGCAGAUGUACAUGGAAUUUGGUCAAGGUUAUUUUGUGAUUUCGGUGAUGAAUUUGAAGUUUUAGAUACAACAGGAGAAGAACCAAAAGAAAUUUUCAUUUCAAACAUAACGCAAGCAAAUCCUGGCAUUGUUACUUGCCUUGAAAAUCAUCCUCACAAACUGGAGACAGGACAAUUCCUAACAUUUCGAGAAAUUAAUGGAAUGACAGGUUUAAAUGGAUCUAUACAACAAAUAACGGUGAUAUCGCCAUUUUCUUUUAGUAUUGGUGACACCACAGAACUGGAACCAUAUUUACAUGGAGGCAUAGCUGUCCAAGUUAAGACUCCUAAAACAGUUUUUUUUGAAUCACUGGAGAGGCAGUUAAAACAUCCAAAGUGCCUUAUUGUGGAUUUUAGCAAUCCUGAGGUAAAUAAACACUUUGCAGGUUUGAGAGAGGCAGCAGAAUCAGAGAUGAGAAUUAGUGAGUGAUUAUAAAGUUAAAAUGGAAUAACCAUGUAGGUAUCUUGCUGUCAGGCCUUAUAAUGUGAGUAUAAUAAAGGUUAUACUCACAUAUCUAAAGUUGACUUCUGAGGAUUAAAAAUGUGAAUUUGUAUCAUAAAAAAAACUUAAAGUAAUAGGAAAAAGUUUCACUUUUAUAAUGAUUUGCCAACUUUGAUAAUUAUAAGACGAUUUCAAUAACUUGUGCAAAGAUGAUCAUAUUAAAAGAUUUUCUGAAUCAUACCAUUUUAUAUAAUACAUAUGUCUUACCAAAAAAGCCUUGAGUAUGUAUUCUAUUUUUUUUAAAUGGAUGUAAUUUUGUAGCAGUAAAUGUGAUAAGGAAGGAACUAACAGUUUCCAAAUUUGUAAAUUUUAAUAAGGAAAGGGGAUUAAAUCAUUUACCUUCAUGGCCCUGAGGUUAAGUCAUUUAACUUCUAACCUUCAGGUUUCUUAUUUGUUAAAUAGAGUUAAUAACAGUAUUAAGCUAAUGUGUUUAUUAUGAUGGUUAAAUAAUGUUUUAAAAGUAUUUAGCCCAGUGCCUGGGACAUACAAGCACUCAGUAAAUGUUGGCCAAUUUUUAAUGUUCUCAAUAGGCACCUUUAGAGAUUCACACAGCUAUGCUUGCCUUGGACCAGUUUCAGGAGAAAUACAGUCGCAAGCCAAAUGUUGGGUAAUGUUUUAAGUUUAAAAAUAAGUAUUUUCCUUUUUAUAAAAGUAGGAGUUCAGAAAUUAUAAUUUAAAAAGUAACUAUGCCCUUUGUAAUUACAAUACCAAUAGAUAUACCAAGCUGUGCAAACAUUUAUUAUGACUUUCUGGUCCUUUUCCUGGUGGGAGUGGAGAAAUUGGUUUAUAAAAGUGGAAUCAUACUAAAUGUGAAUUUUUCCACUUUGAAGCCUUUAAAAAUUAAAGCUUCUUAAAACAAAAAAAAUUCUGAGAAUUACUGAAUUAUUAACCCAUAGUAAUUUUUUUUUUAACUUUAUACCCUGUUAAGUCAGAGUACUGUUGCAGAAGGUUUUUGCUUUUUAUAUUUGGGAUUAAAUCUUGGGAUUGGGUGUUGUGGCUCCCACCUAUGAUCCCAGGACUUUGGGAGGCUGAAGCGGGUGGAUCACUUGAGGCCAGGAGUUCAAGACCAGCCUGGCCAACAUGGCGAAACCCUGUCUCUGCUAAAAAUACAGAAAUUACCAGGCGUGGUGGUGCAUGCCGGUAAUCCCAGCUCCUUGGGAGGCUGAGGCACAAGAAUCGCUUGAACCAGGAGGCAGAGGGUGCAGUGAGCCAAGAUUGCACCACUGCACUCCAGCCUGGGUGACAGUGAGACUGUCUC
RNAcentral lists this small RNA (2382 nucleotides) under Pan troglodytes (chimpanzee). RNAcentral's name for it is "retained intron". The record is from RNAcentral. Lineage: Eukaryota; Metazoa; Chordata; Mammalia; Primates; Hominidae.